CAGGUGUGUAUGGGGUGCGGGUGUGGGGGUGUGCAGGUGUGUAUGGGGUGCGGGUGUGGGGGUGUGCAGGUGUGUAUGGGGUGCGGGUGUGUGUGCAGGUAUGUAUGGGGUGGGGGUGUGCAGGUGUGUAUGGGGGUGAAGCUAUGGGGUAUAUGCAGGUGCGUAUGAAGGUGCAUGUAUGGGGGUGUGCAGAUGUGUAUGAGGUACAGGUAUUGGGUGUGUUAGUGUGUAUGGGGUGCAGGUGGGUGUGUGGGUGUGCGAGUGCAUGAUGUGUUUGGUGUGGGGUCGGGGUGGGGGUGGGGGUGUGCUGUGGUUUUUGUCUCCACCAAAAUUUAAGCGUCAUAACCGAAUGGCCAGUGUGAUGGUGUUAGGAGUGGUUAGGCCGUGAAGGGGAUGAAGGUCCUUGCAGACCAGGCCUCAGUCAGCAGAGACCUCUCACCCUCCCAGCGCCUCCACGUGAGAACACAGUGUCUGUCCCCUCCGUAGGAUGCAGCAGAAAGGUACCACCUUGGAAGCUGAGCGCCCCCCUCGCCAGACACCAGACCUGCUGGCUCCUGAAUCUUGGACUUCCAGCCUCCAGAAUGGGGAGAAAUAAGUUUCUGUUCUUUAAAAUUACUCCGUCUCAGGUAUUUUGUUACAGCAGCACAUGGGGAUUGAGACUGGGUGUGCAGGUGGUGGAGGAGGGUGUGCAGGUGUGUUUGAGGGUGUUUGCCUCAAUCUUUAGACGGCAUCAGGGCCACAAUACCUGCAGGUGUCGGGACGUUAACUGCAGACCUUGGUGAAUAAAAGCCAGUUGUCCUGAGUUUGGCAAGAAAACCUUUGGAAGAGGCCUCACAAGCCACUCCAGGCUACAAGACGGGGCGUUUGUCCUGGGGGACCUGCCGUCACCCUUAGUGGUCCAGCAGCACCGUCUCAGCCUCUCUGGCCAGAGCAGCUGCCCCGCAGGGGCCCCCGAGUCCUGGAGAGCUAUGUCAGACAAGAUGUCCAUGGGCAGCAGACCUCUGGCCACUGCAGGCUCCAGGCACCAGAGUGAGACCCAGCAGGCUUCAGCCGGCAAGAGGGCCCCUGACUGUGGACGACUCCCUCACGGUGGUGGUCUUGGAGGGAUCCCUGCUAACAGAAAGGGUGCAUCCCUGUCCACCUUCCCGUCCUUACCCCCAAAGUCAGCGUCAGCAGCUGGCCCGCAUCGGAGGCAUUCAGAUAGGAGUCCUUGGGGACCGCCCCCAACCGACAGGAACUGGAAAUGCCUUGAGUACUGAGGGAGGAGGGCUGCAGGGACAGGAGGGAGGGUGCCCUUAAACACACUUGCUGGCCCUUCUCAGGAGAAACCCUUCCUUGCCAUGGGUCAUGGUGAAGCUGUGCCCCGAGUUAAGCCAGUGACCGAAUUCCUGAGCUCAGAGGAUGGCCGGUGAAACAACUUGCUAAAAUGCUGAGACUCCCUCCACUCGUGAGACUACGAAAAAACGUGCUGAAGUCAGUUAGAGCCAUGGUGGCCAAAGUCUCUGCUCAGAACCAGCUGCGCAGGUCCCUCCCCCGGUUCCUCCUAGGCUGAGUACUCUGGGGUCGCAGUCUUCCCGGACGUCGCCUGUUGGUUGUUGUAGGGGUUUCAGGUGUUUGUUUUUUUUUUUAGGGUUGUCUUGCUGCAUUUUGUUGCGGACCACAAUGCAUUGCAAUCCUAGUCAGCUCAGGGGCUUUUCAAGUAUUUGACUUAAGAGCUGAGUAGCUGGGCAGGCUGAUAAGAACAGACAAAGUGAGCUCUUUUGCAGGCUAGUAAACUUUCAUCUUAGACUACUUUGGUUCAGGUGAGGGCAGCUAAGCAGGUGGGAAGGCAGGGAGGGGGAGGCCGACAAGCAGGCAUUGGGGCCCAUCCAAGCAGGGGCCUAGUACAUCCUGUUUUUUUGUAGUUUGCUGACCUAAACCGGAUCAAGCCACCUUGUCUUGGAAAUGGACCACUGCGUGCGUUAUUUCACCUCCACCCGAGUCCACCUCACGCUUUCCUCCCUCCUCAUGCCCCCUUGUCCCCUCAUCCUCCCAACUGCCAUGGCUUUGUGAGGCGCCCUGGGUUCCGUGGCUACCGUGUCGACCAGGGCAGCCCACCCACUUCUCACUUUGGUCUGGAGUUGGCAAGAGCGACGCUGCUUUUCUCUUGCUCUUCAGCCUGGACCUGUGAUGUGAUAGGCGUGAGAAGGAACUGUGGGUUCUGGCGGUAAGGAAAGUGGGGCCUUACUUUCCCAUGUUCCCAAAAGGCAGAUGCAAUCCCUGCACUCCUGAAGGAGUCAAGCAGUAAAGACGACACAGCAAGACUGUCCGGGACUCAGGCUGUGAGGAUUUGUCUCAUGAGGGGCCUCAGAAAAG
RNAcentral lists this long non-coding RNA (2355 nucleotides) under Pan troglodytes (chimpanzee). Its description in RNAcentral is "long non-coding RNA NONPTRT013899". Lineage: Eukaryota; Metazoa; Chordata; Mammalia; Primates; Hominidae. The record is from RNAcentral.